AUGCAGGAAGUAGACCUUAGUUAGUUAAUUCGUGUUUAAUACGCGAAUUAUUCGCGUAUUUUGUAACAUACGAAUUAAACGUCGAUUUUCGUAUUUUUUCAAAAAAUACGAAAAAAAAACACGAUUUUUUCAUCAAAAAUGAUUAUUCGCGAAUUAUUCGCGAUUCGCGAAUAAUUCGCCCAAAAAAUCGGCGACAGCGACGGGCAGCCGAGGGUCGAUUCGUCGCCGAUCUCGUCGCCGCUUGCGUCGUCGCCGCUCUCAUCACCGCCGCUCGCGUCGUCGCCGCUCGCGUCGUCGUCGUCCUCCGCAGCCCUCGCCGGCGGCG
This 325-nucleotide long non-coding RNA is filed under the name Ananas comosus (pineapple). Its description in RNAcentral is "long non-coding RNA (ACOM_LNC043784)". The record is from RNAcentral. Lineage: Eukaryota; Viridiplantae; Streptophyta; Magnoliopsida; Poales; Bromeliaceae.